AGUGAACGCUGGCGGUAGGCCUAACACAUGCAAGUCGAACGGCAGCACAGUAAGAGCUUGCUCUUACGGGUGGCGAGUGGCGGACGGGUGAGGAAUACAUCGGAAUCUACUUUUUCGUGGGGGAUAACGUAGGGAAACUUACGCUAAUACCGCAUACGACCUACGGGUGAAAGCAGGGGAUCUUCGGACCUUGCGCGAUUGAAUGAGCCGAUGUCGGAGUAGCUAGUUGGCGGGGUAAAGGCCCACCAAGGCGACGAUCCGUAGCUGGUCUGAGAGGAUGAUCAGCCACACUAGAACUGAGACACGGUCCAGACGCCUACGGGAGGCAGCAGUGGGGAAUAUUGGACAAUGGGCGCAAGCCUGAUCCAGCCAUACCGCGUGGGUGAAGAAGGCCUUCGGGUUGUAAAGCCCUUUUGUUGGGAAAGAAAAGCAGCAGGUUAAUACCCCGCUGUUCUGACGGUACCCAAAGAAUAAGCACCGGCUAACUUCGUG
This 492-nucleotide ribosomal RNA is filed under the name uncultured bacterium. Its description in RNAcentral is "partial 16S ribosomal RNA". It matches the Rfam family "Bacterial small subunit ribosomal RNA", at positions 29 to 507 of the family's 1533-position model. The record is from RNAcentral.